RNAcentral lists this long non-coding RNA (1856 nucleotides) under Nicotiana tabacum (common tobacco). RNAcentral describes it as "long non-coding RNA (NTAB_LNC010707)". The record is from RNAcentral. Lineage: Eukaryota; Viridiplantae; Streptophyta; Magnoliopsida; Solanales; Solanaceae.
GCACUCAAUGCCUCACCUAUCCUUGCGUACCAACUUACGACUAAGGAACUCUGCACAUGUGAUUUCAUACUUUGGCCAUGGGCCACAUUGCAAGACAACUGCGAAUGCUGACUAAAUAUCAAUAUAAAACUUGGCCGACAAGGCCGUUAUAUUUAUUACAGCUGACAAACCAACCAAAUAUACAUACAAGGCCUAAAUGCCCAACAUACUGCACUAACUGACAAGAUAUAUCUACAAGCCUCUACUGAUGGAUACACUGUGAUCGGAAUGGCCUUCCGACCUAUUCAUGAUAUAUAUACAUAUAUAUACAAUAUAUACAUAAGGCUCUAGACCUGGAAACUCCGAAAGGCAUGGAGCUUAUCGAUCAAGCUAAACUCGGGCAACACUUAUUGAAGAGGCCUACUCAUCUGUCUGUCCGACCUGCACACAUGAAAUGCAGCGCCCCCAGAAAAAGGGACGUCAGUACGAAAUAAUGUACUGAGCAUGUAAGGCAAUAUACUGAAAGUUGAAACUGAACUCAUAAUAUAAUAACUGCAAGUAGCUAGAAGUCAAAGAUAAUCUGAAGAUAUGCUUACCUGCUGAUACUGACUCAACUCCCUCAAUAUAGUAAGUAAAAUAGUUGUCCGGCCCUAUAAGGCUCGGUAUACAUAUAUAUAUCUGCUCUGCCGUAGUAGGCUCGCUCAUAAGCGCUCGGCCAUACUAGGCUAUGUAUCCCGACCAACUGGGCUCGCUCAUAUGCGCUCGACCACAGUAGGAUCAUCAUAUAACUUGCCAUCUGAUCAGAGGUUGCCCAAUAGGGGCCUGCCCAUCGAUUAUAGCUCGAUGGUAAUGAAAAUACUUUUAAUAUUGUAUAUAUGUAACUUCUCUGCUCUCUUGAUUGGAAGAAGGAAAUACUCAACUAAAUAUGAAAUCCCGAUAAGGAGAAUAUUAUAACUUACAACAUUAGAAAAAUAUACGCAAUUUGCAAGACUAGCAAAAUAUACGUAAAUUCCGGGAUGUGAAUGUAAUGACGAGAUCAUGCCAAAUGAAAGAAGAGCUUAGCCUUAACAUACUAAAAGGUUAAAUUCAUUAUCAUUUAACCAUCAGUAGUUGUGUCUUGAAAUUAAAGGGACGGAAGCUCAUUUACUUCAUACUUAAAGAAGCUACUAUGAUUAUGGAGACUACUGUUAUAAAAAGGUGCUGAUAGCUUGUCUAUCAUUUUCUUUUUCCUAAAGAUCCAUAUUUGUUUUACGAUUAAACUGUAUCCUCCAAUGUCAUGCAUAACCAUAACUAAAGCAUUUUUCCUUUUCCUCUUUCUUUACCAAUCUAAUAUAUAUUACUCUAUGGUAUGUCAUAUUCUGUAUUUUUUUUUUUGUGUAGCAACAGAGUGAGCCUUUCCAUUACUUAAAUUUCUAAGUACCCUUCUGGGUAAUACUAAUAGACAUCACGACUUUGCAAGUAUGCUAUUUAAAUUUAGUGUAUGGAUCAUGCCAAAAGAAAAGAAGGGAGGACCUUAACAUACCUGGAGUAGGGAAAACUCCGUAUAAUAUUUCGUUGGAAAUCUUCGUAGAUUGAACGAAAUUUGCCUCUACUCCUUAGAAAUUCAUGGAUGAAAACUUAUUUCUAGUUCUUAAAAAUUCUGGAACGAAUUAAAAGUUUUGGCUUCCUUGAAAUUGAGAGGAAAACGUUAUCUGUUUGAAGUUUGGAACGAAAAUAUUAUUGAAUGGAGUUUGUUGUUGAAAUGAAAUAAUCUUGGAAUGAAGACUUUUGUUUUUGAAAUGAAAUAAUCUUGGAAAGAGGACUUGUAAGGAUAACGUUUCAAAUUUAUGAAAGAAAUCUCUCUUGUUUUCUUUCUGAAUGAGUAACGUCACUUUUUU